Molecule: long non-coding RNA, 2935 nt
Filed under: Nothobranchius furzeri (turquoise killifish)
Lineage: Eukaryota; Metazoa; Chordata; Actinopteri; Cyprinodontiformes; Nothobranchiidae
Description: lncRNA (ENSNFUG00015003062.1)
Source: RNAcentral
AUGGUUCUCCCACAAGAGCAGGACCAAGCUAUGAAGGGAGAGAGGAUCAAUAAGGAAACGGGAGAGCUGAGUGCUUCGGGGGAGCUGACUGCCUCGGUGGAGCUGAAGACGGAGAAGGGGGAGGGCUACUGUGGGAACCCUGAACUACUGCAAAGACUCAGAGAUGCACUACAGGAGCUAGGGAUUUAUACGUACUACAGCCGGGACCCCGGGACAGAUCCUGCAGACAAAGAAGAGGAGACGCUGUUAAAAGUCCUGCCUCUUUACUUACAGGUAUGCACCAACAGGGUAAUGGAUAUAACACAUUAAUAAUCAAGAUUAGUUAUUUUCCUCAGAUUUUCAUAAACAUUACUGAAUAAAUCUGAAUCGAUGGGAAUCCUUCAUAAAGCUAAAGCUCACACAAGGGUCAAUUAAGAAUGCACAAGGAUUCUAACUGAUACUGAACUAAAAAAGGGUUAAGUGGAUGCCUCCAGACAACAAAAAACCACAUGAGUGAAGAUUUUAGUGAGGCUGUAGUCAGAUGCUUGGCCUUUAGCUGAUUCCACCAUUGGCUGUUCCUGGUGCUGAACACGUAAAAUAUAUCAGCAAAUUCACACCGAACGAUCAUGUGGAGAAGGGCAUGUCGUCAAAUUCACAGCGUCAGGUUCAUUGACUGGAAAAAUAUGUCUGCGUUAUAUCACAGUUCUAGGAAAGAGUCUAAUCUUUUCUCAUGCACUGUAGCACAUUGGGCCGUGCACACGCAGUAGCACUGCUGACCGGACCUAAAGCAGCAGAUGGAGCAGGCUUUGGUCUGUUUGCACCUCUGUGGCUGUGUUUGGUGAAAAAACAAGUCUCGCAACCAUUAAUUAGAGCAGCAAAUAUAUAGGAUAACCUUUUUGGAUGCUUAUUUUUCUGACUUCUUUUACAUCAAUCCUGGCUCCGACCAGAGAGUUCUGCUGUUGUGUCUUUGAGCAAGACACUUAACCCACCUUGCCUGCUGGUGGUGGUCAGGGGGACCGGUGGCACCAGUGUUCAGCAGGCCUCACCUCUAUCAGUGUGCCCCAGGGUAGCUGUGGCUACAAUGUAGCUCAUCAUCACCAGCAUGUGAAUGUGUGUGUGAUUGUGUGAAAGACUGCCUGAUGCCCCCUAAAGAAAGAAAGAAAGAAAGAAAGAAAGAAAGAAAGAAAGAAAGAAAGAAAGAAAAGAAAGAAAGAAAAGAAAGAAAGAAAGAAAACAAUCUUUUCUAUAGCGCCUCUGAAGGUAAAAAUCACGAGGCGUUUCACAAAAACAAAACAUUUAAAACAGGGGUGUCAAACUCAAACUCACACGGGGCCGAAAUGAAACUCUGGGACGGAGUCGAUGGCCAAACUUAAUAUUUUUUGAAAAAGUGACGGCAAAUUUGCACAUUUUCUUUAUUAACAUAUAUGGAAUUUUGAACCUUUAAAUUUGGAAACAAGCUUAUUUCUGCAUUAACACUGAAUGUGGAAUAACCAAAUUACACACGAGCAAGUCAGUUUUAAAUAAAAGGCAUCAGUGGUAUUCAUUACUUGUGGUAUAUUCAGCAUUUUUAAAAUCUAUUCAGGAUUUAUGUUUUCUUGUUUAUUCACUUUUCUUAUUUUUUAUUCUCCUUUUGUUCUCCUGAAUUAAGUGUCAUCGCUGCUGUGACGUCUAGCUUUCCCCACUGAGGAACAAUAAAGGGAUUUUCUAUUCUAUUUAUCUAUCUGCAGCCUUUCCACUUCCUGUUUACUGUAGGUUAAAUCUUUUCUCACGGGCCAACAACAAAAUAAAAAAAUCAGUUUAUCUUAAAUGAAAAUGCAACAUCUCACCUGUUAACUUUCAUGUUUUGGAGCAGAAAAAGAGCAUAAAACCUAAAUAUUUAAAGCUCAGUUUGCUCCACUGGUUUACUGUGAUGCUCACCUGUUCCAGCCAGAUACCUGCAUCAUGGGGUUGAUCUGAGCUGAGGAGGAGACUCCUGUUGUUUUGUUCAUCUUCAUCAUAAUAAUGACAACAUUAGAUGACAACAGGUGCUCAUAUAGGUUUGUGCUGAUGAACAUGUCUGAGCAGCUUGACCACGUUGUUGUGUGUCGGGGAGGAAACAUGACAGCAGCCACAGAGCCGUGCUGGUUUGAGCGUGUCGCUGCUCGCUGGAGUUAUAUCAGCUCUGUCUGGAAGUUAGUUUGAAAACUUUCUCUUUCAGUCGUGAACACAUUACUGAGCAGCUAGAAUCUCCGUUUCUGGGCUUCAGCGUCAGAAAACAGCUGAGUGAACUCGGCGCUGAGUGAGAGGAGUGUUUAGUUUGUCCGAGACAGCGGAGCUGCAGACACCUGCAGCAGGCGCUGGAAAAAACACAAAGGAGGGGGCGCGUCGGCUCUGCGCUAACGCCACAAAGCAUCAUGGGAGUUGAAGUCUUUGCGGUAAAAUUGGCCAGCGGGCCAGUUUUAAUAUAUUUUUGAUAUUUAUCUCGCGGGCCACAUAAAAAUGCUCCGCGGGCCGCAUCUGGCCCGCGGGCCUUGAGUCUGACAUAUGUCAUUUAAAAUAUAAAAAAGAUUAAAAAAAGAUCAAACCAUGUUCAAAAUAAGCAAAAAUAGACUAUUGUAAUAAAAAAAUGCAAAGAAAGAGAGAGAGUGAGAAUAGGAAAGAGGGAAAUCAGUGAAUCCUGGCGAAGGCAGAAUAAGGAGAUGGUGGUGAUGAAGGUCACGUAAAAGCCAGCAUUUACGGGUUGAAGCACCCUAAGAAGGUGUUCUAAAAAUACAGGCCAUUUACUGUUAAACAGUCAAAUCAUUAUGACAUCUAUCUAUCUAUCUAUCUAUCAUCUAUCAUCUAUCUAUCUAUCUAUCUAUCAUCUAUCAUCUAUCUAUCUAUCUAUCUAUCUAUCUAUCUAUCUAUCUAUCUAUCUAUCUAUCUAUCUAUCUAUCUAUCUAUCUAUCUAUCUAUCUAUCUAUCUAUCUGUCUGUCU